Molecule: long non-coding RNA, 967 nt
Organism: Bos taurus (domestic cattle)
Lineage: Eukaryota; Metazoa; Chordata; Mammalia; Artiodactyla; Bovidae
Source: Ensembl
AGUCCCGCCAUAUUCUCCCUGCAGAGGGAAGGGGGAGGGGCUUACCCCUUUGCUCCCCAGUCCAAUGGACCACGCACACGGUGGAUUGCCUGCUUAACUCAUGGCUAGAACACCCGCACUGGUCGCCUUGCUCUGUCCUUUCUCCCAGCCCUAGAAUGGGCACCAGAAUACCUCCCACUUGUGGUGAUUCAUUCCUUUUUUUCUUCUUGCCUUCCUUCUGCGCAUGCUCAUUAUGUCCUUGCUGGGUGUGAAGCCCUGAGCAGGACGCAGGGAUGAGCCGCGAUGGAUCGGGUGGCGCUGCCCUCAUGGCCCAACGAGUCUGCAAAAGCUGUCACUGAAGGCUCACUGCAGCACUUGGUCCCGGGGAGCCUGGCGCCUCUCCCCACAUCCCUCCCCUGGCAGGAUAAUUCUGCAGCCAGGACUUCAGGAAUCGCUUCGGAAGCAUUGUGUAAGAAACCUUUCCACCCAUGCUGAAAUGGCGUUGAUCAAGACCAUCCCUUUGCCUUCGAUCUCACAGCCAGGAAGCAGAAGCACCAGGAUUGAAGAGUUUCCAAGACCAGCUGGCAGAUCUAUGCUGGUCCAGUGUGUUGCCAGUGAAGGACAGGGAAGCCUGGCGUGCUGUAAUCUGUGCAUGUGUGCUAAUUCACUUCCAUUGUGACUGACUCUCUGCAACACUAUGGACCAUAGCCCAUCAGGCUCUUCUGUCCAUGGGAUUCUCCAGGAAAGAAUACUGGAGUGAGUUGCUGUCCCCUCCUCCAGGGAAUCUUCCCAACCUAGGGAUUGAACCUGUGUCUCUUAUGUCUACCUGUAUUGGCAGGUGUCAAUCAGGAGAAGAAUUUGGCUUCCUAAUUUCUCUUCUCCUCCCUGGGGGCCGUGUGUCUCCCCGCCUCACAUGGACACUGAGCUGGAAUCAAGGUUACUAAUAAUCCCCCAGCACACACAGACACCGAGAGCACAUAUAUUAAAG